AGUGAACGCUGGCGGUAGGCCUAACACAUGCAAGUCGAACGGCAGCACAGGAGAGCUUGCUCUCUGGGUGGCGAGUGGCGGACGGGUGAGGAAUACAUCGGAAUCUGCCCAGUCGUGGGGGAUAACGUAGGGAAACUUACGCUAAUACCGCAUACGACCUUCGGGUGAAAGAGGGGGAUCGCAAGACCUCUCGCGAUUGGAUGAGCCGAUGUCGGAUUAGCUAGUUGGCGGGGUAAUGGCCCACCAAGGCGACGAUCCGUAGCUGGUCUGAGAGGAUGAUCAGCCACACUGGAACUGAGACACGGUCCAGACUCCUACGGGAGGCAGCAGUGGGGAAUAUUGGACAAUGGGCGUAAGCCUGAUCCAGCCAUACCGCGUGGGUGAAGAAGGCCUUCGGGUUGUAAAGCCCUUUUGUUGGGAAAGAAAUCUUUCAGGCUAAUACCCUGGGAGGAUGACGGUACCCAAAGAAUAAGCACCGGCUAACUUCGUG
This 490-nucleotide ribosomal RNA is filed under the name uncultured bacterium. RNAcentral describes it as "partial 16S ribosomal RNA". It matches the Rfam family "Bacterial small subunit ribosomal RNA", at positions 29 to 507 of the family's 1533-position model. The record is from RNAcentral.